RNAcentral lists this long non-coding RNA (1285 nucleotides) under Citrus x clementina. RNAcentral's name for it is "Citrus clementina (C. clementina) long non-coding RNA (CCLE_LNC005756)". Lineage: Eukaryota; Viridiplantae; Streptophyta; Magnoliopsida; Sapindales; Rutaceae. The record is from RNAcentral.
UUGCAAGUUAAUGAUCUCAUGUUUCAUAUUUAUUACCCUAAAUUUCAAGUUCAUUAAUUAAAUUAUUUUCAUGGUUUUAAGUUAAUGAUAACAUAUUUUAUGUCUAUUGCCCUAAAUUUCAAGUUUCAUUUGUUUUAUGUUUAAUGGCUGAAAUAUCAAGUUAAUGGUCAUGAUUUUAUUUUUAUUAGUCCAUUAAUUAAAUAAUUUUCAUGGUUACAAGUUAAUAAUGACAUAUUUCAUGUUUAUUGCCCUAAAUUUCACGUUCCUUUAGUUUCAAAACAAAACCCAUCACAGUACUUACGAGAAACAAAGUCUUCCAAAACUCAAGACCAGUCUUUGGAGGCUCCGCAACUCUGGUAGUCCAUGAGAUCAACAUCAUCAACGACCCACAAGGCAGGGACAGAGUUGAAGUCCACCAAGGAUAGGGAAGAUCAGCAACCCCGCCGUUGAUCGUUGCCGAAGAAGGAGAUCAGCCCGUGCUUGUGCCGCUGUUGAUCGUUGCCUACGAACUCCUUCAGUCGCCGCCGUUAAUCAUUGCCGACUUGCGCCGCUGUUGAUGGCCGUGGUGAGGCGUUUGGCGUGUGAGUGAAGCGGGAGACAGUGGAGAUGGAGACGUGAGCUGAGGGUGAGCUGUGAUCGCGAGGUGAGGAGUGAGUGGUGAGGACUUUUUGUUUGUUUCAUUUACCGAUUUUACAGGUUCCCUUUCCUUGUAAAUUUUUUAUUAUUUAAUACUAAAAUGAAUCUCAGCCAUUGGAUCCACUCCACUUAAUCCAACGGUAAUUUUUCAUGCAUGUAUCCGAUAUAUGCAGGUAUUGUAGCAUCAGCCGAUGAAAGUGCAUGAAGCGAGCAGGUGAUGAAGGGACGUUUCAGGCGGUUUCGACUUUCGUGCAUUAUUACUAACAACAAUAGUUAAGAAAGAUUAAUUAUUGUGGGGUGUGUGCUUGUGUAUGUAUAUAUUAGUGAAACAUUUAUUAUAAACAUAAAUUGAUAGUAUACAUAUAUAUUAUCAUGAGACACUAAGGAACGAGUUAGGUCGAGAUUUGCCAAAAAUUAAAAAGAAAAAAAAAAUUAUAACAUUUAUAUUACCAGGCAAGUUCUAAUAGCAUUAAUAUUACACAAGCUAAAGUCAUAGUCAUCCUCAUCCAUACGGGCAUAAACAUAUACUCGAUUAAAAAUUACCGUUUUCUUAUGUGGCUUUUAAAAUGAAUUAUAUUAUAUGGUAGGUUAUACAAGCAUAUAUGUUCAGUUCCAUUAACAUGCAUACAAUAUUAAUUAUGAGGGGUAA